GAAAUUAACUCAUAUAUUAUCCAUAUAAAUUUUCAAACUUAUCUCAGCCGUCGGAUUGUAUACGCUCUUUGACUCUCUUCCUUUAUAUACCCUCUCUUGUUCUCUUUUCUCUCUCGCUUUCCUCCUCCUCGCUUGCCUUAACCUUCUGCUUCAGGGGCUUUCACGGAGUGUUGAGGUUGCAGCUUAUUUCUCUGGAUUUUGCUUUUUGUUUUAUUCUUCAACUUCUCAAUAAAAAUGGCAGUUGAGCUUGUGAGCUUUACAGAAAUGGAAGAUCAGGCUAUACAAGAGACUGCAUCACAAGGCUUGAAGAGUA
This 313-nucleotide unclassified non-coding RNA is filed under the name Hevea brasiliensis (rubber tree). Lineage: Eukaryota; Viridiplantae; Streptophyta; Magnoliopsida; Malpighiales; Euphorbiaceae. The record is from RNAcentral.